Molecule: ribosomal RNA, 566 nt
Filed under: uncultured bacterium
Lineage: Bacteria
Description: bacterial SSU rRNA
Rfam family: Bacterial small subunit ribosomal RNA
Source: RNAcentral
GACGAACGCUGGCGGCGUGCCUAACACAUGCAAGUCGAGCGGGGAGGAGGAAGCUUGCUUCCGAAUCCUAGCGGCGGAGGGGUGAGUAACGCGUGAGCAACCUGCCUCUUACAGGGGGAUAACGCAUCGAAAGAUGUGCUAAUACCGCGUAAGACCACAGCAUCACAUGGUGCAGGGGUCAAAGGAGCAAUCCGGUAAGAGAUGGGCUCGCGUCCGAUUAGCUAGUUGGCGGGAUAACAGCCCACCAAGGCGACGAUCGGUAGCCGACCUGAGAGGGUGAUCGGCCACAUUGGAACUGAGAUACGGUCCAGACUCCUACGGGAGGCAGCAGUGGGGAAUAUUGGGCAAUGGGCGAAAGCCUGACCCAGCAACGCCGCGUGAGGGAAGAAGGGUUUCGGCUCGUAAACCUCUGUCCUAUGGGACGAAGAAGUGACGGUACCAUAGGAGGAAGCCCCGGCUAACUACGUGCCAGCAGCCGCGGUAAUACGUAGGGGGCGAGCGUUGUCCGGAAUGAUUGGGCGUAAAGGGCGCGUAGGCGGCCCGCUAAGUCUGGAGUGAAAGUCCCG